CUCUGCAGGAGAGAAACCGAGGCAGCUCUAGAUCAGCGUUCUGCGGCUGUUUCUGGACCUGAUACCAGUUUGGACAGUGGCCGUGGCAAGCUGCAUCUCCCUGGCCGUGGAGGGGUCUGUGUUCUGUGACUGGCAGUGUCCCCCACUAAGAGCAGGCUCUGGCUUGAAGGCCCACUGAAACUUCUAGAACCCAGGCCCUCCCUUUCUCUGGAGGGUAAAUGUCCUAGGAGGACUUUCCUUGGUGGCAGAGAGUUUGCAUGGCAGCUGCCCCUCGGAGGCCUUUGCUCUGCCGUCUGGGCCUCUGCUGUGCUCGGAAGGACCUUGAGAUUCGCCGAGUCCACACUGAGGUGUCUCUCGCUGUCUUCCUAGUGUUGAUGUCAUCUGCUCCAUGGCUGCCUGUCCCCUGAUGGGAAGAGGGGGCAGCCCGCUCCCCCGAGAGUACCAGCUUACACUGAACACAGAGAAAGUGGUUGACGAGAGACAGAGCAUGAGCAGUGGGGAGAAGGCAGAGGGAGAAGGAGAAGGAAGCGGGGAGCCCGAUGUGAUGCGGGGCUCGAUCCUGGGACCGUGAGAUCAUGACCUGAGCUGAAGGCAGACGCUUAAAGGACUGAGCCACCCAGGUGCUGGUUCC
This is a long non-coding RNA of Mustela putorius furo (domestic ferret), 631 nucleotides long. The record is from Ensembl. Lineage: Eukaryota; Metazoa; Chordata; Mammalia; Carnivora; Mustelidae.